Molecule: small RNA, 12157 nt
Filed under: Pan troglodytes (chimpanzee)
Lineage: Eukaryota; Metazoa; Chordata; Mammalia; Primates; Hominidae
Description: retained intron
Source: RNAcentral
CUUGGCUGUCUCUGGGAGCAGGGCUGGGGUACCUGAGUGGGGUGCAUUUGGGGUGUGUGGGAAGGAGAGGGAAAGAAAGAUGGACAGUGGGACUCUCCCCUAGCAGGGUCUGGUGUUCCGUAGGCUAGAGUGCCCCUCUACUCUGCGAGUGCUGGGCGGGAGGGGAGUUGGUGAGAGCUGGAGACCCUCAGGAAGGGCUGGCAGAAGCCUUUCCUUUUGGGUGCUGUCAGGUCCGCAUGUCUUGGCGUGUUGACCUUCACAGCUUCUGGCGAGGGGAGGAAUGAUCUGGUGCGGGUGGGGAGGGUUAGAGGAGGCCUCAGGCCUAAGGUGGUGCAGGGGGCCCCCUAGGGGCUGGGCAGUGCCAAGGCAUAAAAGCCUUCCCUGAUCCCUGGUGGCAUUUGAAGGUGCCCAGGUGAGAGGGGCUUGGCACCUCCUCACCCUGGGAGGGAGAAGAAACCAGGGAACAGGUAGGAGUGGGAGACAGGUGAGGCUUUGGAAAUCUAUUGAGGCUCUGGAGAGAUUUGUGUAGAGAGGAAAAUGUGGUUCUCCCCCAGGGUCUCCUCCUGGGUUUUUACCCUCUAAGCAACCUGUGGGCAUGCUGGGUUAUUCCUAAGGACUAGAAGAGCUUGGAUGGGGGAGGGUGGUUGGUGCCCUUCGGUCCUCGGCACCCCCCUCCGUCUCCAACACCAGCUCACCCUGGUAUUUGUCAUGUCAGCAGGAGAAGGUCACCAUGUUGUUUUUCUCGCCCCUAGUCCUUCCUUCCUGCCCCAGUCCAAAUUUGUCCUCCUAUUUGACCUUAAUACUUACCAUGGCUUUGGACCAGGGAAUCAGGGGGAUAGUGAGAGCAGGGAGAGGGAAGUGUGGGGAAGGUACAGGGGACCUCGACAGUGAAGCAUUCUGGGGUUUUCCUCCUGCAUUUCGAGCUCCCCAGCCCCCAACAUCUGGUUAGUCUUUAACUUCCUCGGGUUCAUAACCAUAGCAGUCCAGGAGUGGUGGGCAUAUUCUGUGCCCGUGGGGACCCCCGGUUGUGUCCUGUUCGACUCAGAAGACUUGGAGAAGCCAGAGGCUGUUGGUGGGAGGGAAGUGAGGAGGGAGGAGGGGCUGGGUGGCUGGGCCUGUGCACCCCAGCCCCUGCCCAUGCCCAUGCCUUGCUCUCUUUCUGUCCUCAGUGGUCCCAGGCUGCACCCAUGGCAGAAGGAGGAGGGCAGAAUCAUCACGAAGGUGAGUCCCCCUGGCUGUUGGAUGGGGUUCCCUGUCCUCUCAGGGGAUGGGUGGAUGGCCUAAAUCCUUUUUCUUCAGAACUGUGGGGAGGAAGGGGAAGGGGCACAGGAAUAUAAGGAUCAAGAAAGAAAGAGCUGGGCACCAUGAGGUUCACCCUCAGUUUCGUGAGGACUCUCUGCUGUUCAGGUCUCUGCUAGAAGUAGGACUUGUUGCCUUUUUCUUCUGCUCUUUCCAGUAAAAUUUUAUUUGGAGAAGGAGUCGUGCGCACAGAGCAGGAAGACAGUGUUCAGGGAUCCUAGGUGUUGGGGGAAGUGUCCCUUGUUUCCCCUAGCUCCCAGGGGAGAGUGGACAUUUAGUGUCAUUUCCUAUAUAGACAUGUCCCAUUUGUGGGAACUGUGACCCUUCCUGUGUGAGCUGGAGGCACAGAGGGCUCAGCCUAAUGGGAUCUCCCCUCCCUUCCCUGGUUUGCAUUCCUUUGGGGGUGGAGAAAACCCCACUUGACUAUGUUCGGGUGCUGUGAACUUCCCUCCCAGGCCAGCAGAGGGCUGGCUGUAGCUCCCAGGCGCCCCGCCCCCCUGCCCAACCGCGAGUCCGCCUGCCUUUUGUUCCGUUGUGGUUUGGAUCCUCCCAUUUCUCUGGGGACACCCUGGCUCUCCCCACCACUGACUGUGGCCUGUGCUCUCCACCUCUGGGGAGGGAAGGCCCUGGGGUCUUCCUUCCCGCGAGUUUCCCUGACCUAAAUCUGGCGUGGCUGGGUAGUGGCCAGCAGUGGUGAUGCCCAGCCUGUUCUGCCUCCUCCUUCCCCACCCCAGGAGCCCUUUCCUUGGCCUAGGACCUGGCUUCUCAGCCACUGACCGGCCCCCUGCUUCCAGUGUGCCACUUACCCCUUCCAGCUUCCCAGUGGUCUCUGGUCUGGGAGAGGCAGGACAAAUGGUCUUUGUUUGCUGGAGAAAAGGUUGUCUGCGAUAAAUAAGGAAAACCACGAAAGCCUGGUUGUUGGAGUGUAUGUGUGUGCUCCCCCAGGCAGUGGAGGCCAGCCCUCCUUGGAGGGGCGGCUGCCUGAUGAAGGAUGCGGGUGAGGUUCCCCCCCUCCACCUCCCAUGGGACUUGGGGAUUCAUUCCAAGGGGAAGCUUUUUGGGGGAAUUCCUACCCCAGGUCUUUUUACCCUCAGUUACCAACCCCUUGCCCAGGCCAGACCUUCCUGCUAUCCCCUCCUGGGCCACAAGCCUGGCCCUCCUCUGUCCCAAUUGUGAUGAAGGGGCAGUUCAAAACUUCUUGAUUAGUCAUCUUCUCCCCUAUCGACUUGGCUUUAAAAAAUGACCUUUUCAGACUUCUGGUCUCGUUCACUCUUUUUGAUGAUGCUUUGCCGUAACCCUUCGUGGGUAGAGAAGGAUUCUGUGCCCAUUGGUGGUCUGGAUAAAAGAAAUAGAGACCUCACAGGAAGCAGUGGACUGGCCUGUUUCCCCACUGUUCUUUCUGUUUUCACACCUGUGGCCUUCUCCCCACCUUCUUCCCAAUCAACCUGUUGUGUACAUAGCCCCCCUCGUUGUCCUUUAUUCUUCUGGAAAGCAGACCUUGGAGGGAGGAGUGAGGGGGAGGCUCAGCUGUGGUCUCUGGGGGGUGGGGGUUGGGAGCUGGGGUGGAAGUCCACGAGGCAUACACUUAAGAUGCUUUGGUGAAGUUCUAAACUUCAUAUUACCCAGGCUGAAAAAAGAGCACUUGUUCCUAGGGCUGGAAAUGGAAGCCAAAACACCACCUUUUCAGCCUGUUUCAGCAUCUUUAGAGAUCAGUCCAACCCACUUACACAGUUGAGCAGAGUUGGAGGCCUAGAGAGGGGAGGGACUGGCCCAAGGUCAUACCAACUCAUGGCCAGAGCCUGGGCCUCCUCACUAGCCAGGUGUUAUUUCUUCCCUCUGUGUAGGGAACCUAUUUCAGGGACAGGAUUGCUAUGUGGUAGUGGUGGUGGGGUGUGAUAGGCGUGGCAGGCUGGGCCACAAUUUGGAGUAGUCAUGCCAGAGUCCUGCAUUUAUUUAUUCUCAAGGGCCCCGCCCCUGUGGCCCAGAAUUACCCCUUCAUGCUCCAGUGCACCCCAGGCUUCGCGGCCAGCCUGGGAAACUGUCUCUACCCUGGUCUCCCUUCAGAUCAGCUUCUAGAAAUGUUUCGUGGCUACAGUGGCAGCACUGUUUUUUCCAUGAUGCAAGCAGUUUGCCCUCUUGGGCGGGGUUAUCAGUGGCUGGCAGGGCUGGCACAGCGUGUCCGCCCACUGCCACCUGUGGGUUCCAGGAGGGCCCAGCCCCUGUGCUGAUGCCCACCACCUUCUCAGCUCAUGUCUGGGGAAGAGGACUGGCAGGGGGAAAGGUGCCUCCUCCUGAAAGGUGCCUCCUCUGUUUUUGCCUAAUAUAGGCUUGGGAACACUUUGAUGUCAGCUAAUUCUGACUCCUUUACUUACUAGCUGUGCGGCCUUGGGGCAACUUACUUAGCCUCUUUGAGCCUCCUUUUCCCCAUCUGUAAAAUGGAAUCUCAAUAGUGUCUAAUAGUACCAUGUGGAGAAACUUGUGUGAGAUGAUAGCUGUGGACUACUGUACACAGUACUCAGGAUGUAGUAAGUGCUCAAUAAACAGCUGUUGGUAUGGUUGACGUUAUGGUAGUGGUUGUGGGGAGGACGUAGGAAACUGGAGACUAGCUUGGCAAAGCUGGCUCUUCCUCCUUUUAGGGAAAGCUUAGAGCAUCCCCAUGGGGUAUACCCAUACUCAAACUGUCCUCUGGCAUCGAGGUUGGCCCAGGAUUCAGUUCAGCUGUCACAGUGAGGUGGCGGGAUCAGAUGUGGCAGGCCGUGUCCCUUGGAACUUGAGUACAUCGUGUGAUCUCUGGAAUGAAAACAGGCCUUCACCAGUGUUGAUGGUGGAAAGCUUAGGGAAGUGCUUCAAACACAGUAGGAGGGACUUACAUUAGAUUUUGGAAGGACUUGCCUGAUUCGGAAGCUCCAAAGAGUGGCAUUACAGAGCUGGGUGGAGAGAGGGGCUAGCCAUCUUUUGUGUCGCCCACCGGGCUCAUGUGUCGUCGCCUCUCAUGCAGUGGUGAAGUUCAUGGAUGUCUAUCAGCGCAGCUACUGCCAUCCAAUCGAGACCCUGGUGGACAUCUUCCAGGAGUACCCUGAUGAGAUCGAGUACAUCUUCAAGCCAUCCUGUGUGCCCCUGAUGCGAUGCGGGGGCUGCUGCAAUGACGAGGGCCUGGAGUGUGUGCCCACUGAGGAGUCCAACAUCACCAUGCAGAUUAUGCGGAUCAAACCUCACCAAGGCCAGCACAUAGGAGAGAUGAGCUUCCUACAGCACAACAAAUGUGAAUGCAGACCAAAGAAAGAUAGAGCAAGACAAGAAAAGUAAGUGGCCCUGACUUUAGCACUUCUCCCUCUCCAUGGCCGGUUGUCUUGGUUUGGGGCUCUUGGCUACCUCUGUUGGGGGCUCCCAUAGCCUCCCUGGGUCAGGGACUUGGUCUUGUGGGGGACUUGUGGUGGCAGCAACAAUGGGAUGGGGCCAACUCCAGGAUGAUGGCUCUAGGGCUAGUGAGAAAACAUAGCCAGGAGCCUGGCACUUCCUUUGGAAGGGACAAUGCCUUCUGGGUCUCCAGAUCAUUCCUGGCCAGGACUUGCUGUUUUGGUGUGUCAGGGGGCACUGUGGACACUGGCUCACUGGCUUGCUCUAGGACACCCACAGUGGGGAGAGGGAGUGGGUGGCAGAGAGGCCAGCUUUUGUGUGUCAGAGGAAAUGGCCUCUUUUGGUGGCUGCUGUGACGGUGCAGUUGGAUGCGAGGCCGGCUGGAGGGUGGUUUCUCAGUGCAUGCCCUCCUGUAGGCGGCAGGCGGCAGACACACAGCCCUCUUGGCCAGGGAGAAAAAGUUGAAUGUUGGUCAUUUUCAGAGGCUUGUGAGUGCUCCGUGUUAAGGGGCAGGUAGGAUGGGGUGGGGGACAAGGUCUGGCAGCAGUAACCCUUCAAGACAGGGUGGGCGGCUGGCAUCAGCAAGAGCUUGCAGGGAAAGAGAGACUGAGAGAGAGCACCUGUGCCCUGCCCUUUCCCCCACACCAUCUUGUCUGCCUCCAGUGCUGUGUGGACAUUGAAGCCCCCCCCCAGGCCUCAACCCCUUGCCUCUUCCCUCAGCUCCCAGCUUCCAGAGCGAGAGGAUGCGGAAACCUUCCUUCCACCCUUUGAUGCUUUCUCCUAAGGGGGACAGACUUGCCCUCUCUGGUCCCUUCUCCCCCUCCUUUCUUCCCUGUGACAGACAUCCUGAGGUGUGUUCUCUUGGGCCUGGCAGGCAUGGAGAGCUCUGGUUCUCUUGAAGGGGACAGGCUACAGCCUGCCCCCCUUCCUGUUUCCCCAAAUGACUGCUCUGCCAUGGGGAGAGUAGGGGGCUCGCCUGGGCUCGGAAGAGUGUCUGGUGAGAUGGUGUAGCAGGCUUUGACAGGCUGGGGAGAGAACUCCCUGCCAAGUACCGCCCAAGCCCCUCCUCCCCAGCCCUCCUUAACUCCCACCCCAUCCUGCUGCCUGCCCGGGGCUCCAGGACACCCAGCCCUGCCUCCCAGUCCAGGUCGUGCUGAGCAGGCUGGUGUUGCUCUUGGUUCUGUGCCAGCUCCCAAGGUAGCCGCUUCCCCCACACCGGGAUUCCCAGAGGUUCUGUCGCAGUUGCAAAUGAAGGCACAAGGUGCCUGAUACACAGCCCUCCCUCCCACUCCUGCUCCCCAUCCAGGCAGGUCUCUGACCUUCUCCCCAAAGUCUGGCCUACGUUUUAUCACCCCCGGACCUUCAGGGUCAGACUUGGACAGGGCUGCUGGGCAAAGAGCCUUCCCUCAGGCUUUGCCCCCUGCCGGGGACUGGGAGCCACUGUGAGUGUGGAGACCUUUGGGUCCUGUGCCCUCCACCCAGUCUCGGCUUUCCACCAAAGCCUUGUCAGGGGCUGGGUUUGCCAUCCCAUGGUGGGCAGCGUGAGGAGAAGAAAGAGCCAUCGAGUGCUUGCUGCCCAGACACGCCUGUGUGCGCCCGCGCAUGCCUCCCCAGAGACCACCUGCCUCCUGACACUUCCUCCAGGAAGCGGCCCUGUGUGGCUUUGCUUUGGUCGUUCCCCCAUCCCUGCCCACCUUACCACUUCUUUUACUCCCCCCACCGCCCCCGCUCUCUCUCUGUCUCUGUUUUUUUAUUUUCCAGAAAAUCAGUUCGAGGAAAGGGAAAGGGGCAAAAACGAAAGCGCAAGAAAUCCCGGUAUAAGUCCUGGAGCGUGUACGUUGGUGCCCGCUGCUGUCUAAUGCCCUGGAGCCUCCCUGGCCCCCAGUACAACCUCUGCCUGCCAUUCCCUGUAACCCUGCCUCCCUCCCCUGGUCCCUCCCUGGCUCUCAUCCUCCUGGCCCGUGUCUCUCUCUCACUCUCACUCCACUAAUUGGCACCAACGGGUAGAUUUGGUGGUGGCAUUGCUGGUCCAGGGUUGGGGUGAAUGGGGGUGCCGACUUGGCCUGGAGGAUUAAGGGAGGGGACUCUGGCUUGGCUGGGCACCGAUUUUCUCUCACCCACUGGGCACUGGUGGCGGGCCCAUGUUGGCACAGGUGCCUGCUCACCCAACUGGUUUCCAUUGCUCUAGGCUUCUGCACUCAUCUGGAAGCUGAGGGUGGUGGGGAGGGCAGACAUGGCCCAAGAAGGGCUGUGAAUGACUGGAGGCAGCUUGUUGAAUGACUCCUUGGCUGAAGGAGGAGCUUGGGUGGGAUCAGACACCAUGUGGCGGCCUCCCUUCAUCUGGUGGAAGUGCCCUGGCUCCUCACGGAGUUGGGGCCUCUGGAGGGGAGCCCCCUAUUCCAGCCCAACCCAUGGCACCCACAGAGGCCUCCUUGCAGGGCAGCCUCUUCCUCUGGGUUGGAGGCUGUGGUGGGCCCUGCCCUGGGCCCUCUGGCCACCAGCGGCCUGGCCUGGGGACACUGCCUCUGGGCUUAGCCUCCCAUCACACCCUACUUUAGCCCACCUUGGUGGAAGGGCCUGGACAUGAUGAGCCUUGCACGGGGAGAAGGUGGCCCCUGAUUGCCAUCCCCAGCAGGUGAAGAGUCAAGGCGUGCUCCGAUGGGGGCAACAGCAGUUGGGUCCCUGUGGCCUGAGACUCACCCUUGUCUCCCAGAGACACAGCAUUGCCCCUUAUGGCAGCCUCUCCCUGCACUCUCUGCCCGUCUGUGCCCGCCUCUUCCUGCGGCAGGUGUCCUAGCCAGUGCUGCCUCUUUCUGCCGCUCUCUCUGUCUUUUGCUGUAGCGCUCGGAUCCUUCCAGGGCCUGGGGGCUGACCAGCUGGGUGGGGGUGCAGCUGCGGACAUGUUAGGGGGUGUUGCAUGGUGAUUUUUUUUCUCUCUCUCUGCUGAUGCUCUAGCUUAGAUGUCUUUCCUUUUGCCUUUUUGCAGUCCCUGUGGGCCUUGCUCAGAGCGGAGAAAGCAUUUGUUUGUACAAGAUCCGCAGACGUGUAAAUGUUCCUGCAAAAACACAGACUCGCGUUGCAAGGCGAGGCAGCUUGAGUUAAACGAACGUACUUGCAGGUUGGUUCCCAGAGGGCAAGCAAGUCAGAGAGGGGCAUCACACAGAGAUGGGGAGAGAGAGAGAAAGAGAGUGAGCGAGCGAGCGAGCGGGAGAGCGCCUGAGAGGGGCCAGCUGCUUGCUCAGUUUCUAGCUGCCUGCCUGGUGACUGCUGCCUUCUCUGCUUUUAAGGCCCCUGUGGUGGGCUGCAGGCACUGGUCCAGCCUGGCGGGGCCUGUUCCGAGGUUGCCCUGGUUGCCUGAGUGGUAGGCUGGUGUGGCUUAGUGUAGUGGUGUGGACGCAAGCUGUGUGUUGUGUCCUGUGGUCCUUCUGCUCAUAGUGGCUGUUGGUCCUGAUGUUAUUACUACCUCUGGUAGUAAUGCUGAGAAGCUGAAAGCCGAUUCCAGGUGUGGACAAUGUCAACAAAGCACAGAUGCUCUCACUGGGGCCUUGCCUCGGCCCUUUGAAGUCUGCAUGGCUGGGCUUCUCACUCACUCAGUGUUUCUUGAUGGGGGAAGGAAUUGAGUCACUUCAGACUGGGCCUCCCCGAGGAAAGGGUUGUGUCUCCCCACUCAGACUGAGGCUCCCUGAAGGUAGGGCUGUGUCUCUCCCCUCCGACCGGGGCUCCCUGAUAGGGCUGUCUCCCCGCUCAGACUGAGGCUCCCUCAGGCCAGGGCUAUGUCUCCCUCCUCAGACUGGGGCUCUGAGGGCAAGGGGUCUGGCUGUUCGUUUAGGAUGGGGCAGUUUUGCCUACACACUGAAGGAGCUGUAGCAUCCAAGAAUACUAGAUACCUUUAAUCCUCCACCAGUCAUGGUGACAACCCCAAGCAGCCCACACAUUUUCAAGUGCCCCCAGGAUGCGUGGAGGGAGGGGUCUGUGCCCAUUCUCCUGACAUUAGACUGUGAGCUCCGUAAGCCCGGGCCUGGUUUACGUACCUUUGUGAGCCCCGGGCAUCUGUACCUCUUUCCUUUGCCCAUAUUGGGGACCAAGGAAGUGUCAAGUGCAUGAGUGAAUGUGUGACUCAGUUCAGAGGGUGAGGUCAGGAGCACAGGGUCGGGACAGGUGGCUGGCAUCUUUUAAUGCCUUAGCUUAUGUUCUUUAUACCAACUUGGCCUGUGCUCAGAGUGAGGGAGGCCCUGGGGGUCAGGGUAAGCGUCAGUCAGGGAGGCAAGACUUUGUGGGGAUUUCCUAGACAGGGCCAAGGCACCCCCAGCUCACCCCGAGGCUGCGUUAGGGAAGUCCUUGGAGUGUCUCCCCUCCCCCAGCAAUGUUCUUGUGGCUUGUGUGUGCUCAGGGGAUGCUGGGAACCAGGCCUGGGUAGUUGGUGUGGGGUGCUGUCUGUCUUGGCCCUAUGUGAAACCAAGAGGGCGUAUAUUAGUGCUGGGGUGGGGGCUCUGCCUAACUUCAGGGCUGGAUGAGGGGAGUCUCAGUUCCCCAGGGGUCCUUGGGAAAGAUAAAGGACUUGACAUUUUAUGGUUUUUAGGUGAUUAUUCUGCUGAUGGGGGUUUGUGUGAAGUGACCUGGGAGCUAACUGAAGUUACUCUAACCUCCCAAUACCUUUACCCAACCCCCAAGCUGGCUGUAUCUGGGAAUAUCAGUUUCCAAAAUUGGAGGCUUAGGACUCCGUUUCGGGGCUCCCCAGAAGGGUAGGGCCUGUUCUGCCUCCUUCUCACAAUCACCCAGGGGCAGGGGCAUGCUGAGAAAGUUCCUGGAGGCCCCCUUUGCUUCAGCUGGAGUAGUGAAGCCACCGAAUUGUCUCUCCCCAUCCUAAGUGAAGCAGCAUAUUUGAAAGGAAAGACAACCUGUUACCUGGGCCUACAACCUCCAGGCAGCUCAAGAGAGAUGAGGCCUACAGCCACACUGGGAGGGGACAUGGGGAAUGGAGAUGGUCCCUCACCUUCCUGGGGCCUCCUGCUCUACGCUACCCCCUCGGGAGCCUCCUGUCCCCAGGGCAGGCCCUUGCCAUUGUUGGUCACCCGGCCAAGCCUCUCUGCCUCAGGCGUUCUCCCAGAUGAUCUGCCCACUCUCUUCCCCACACCAGCCCCUAGAGACUGAACCGAAAAACCUCCUCAGCAGGGAGCCUCUUCUGAUUAACUUCAUCCAGCUCUGGUCACCCAUCAGCUCUUAAAAUGUCAAGUGGGGACUGUUCUUUGGUAUCUGUUCAUUUGUUGCUUUGUAAAGUGUUCCCAUGUCCUUGUCUUGUCUCAAGUAGAUUGCAAGCUCAGGAGGGUAGACUGGGAGCCCCUGAGUGGAGCUGCUGCUCAGGCCGGGGCUCCCUGAGGGCAGGGCUGGGGCUGUUCUCAUACUGGGGCUUUCUGCCCCAGGACCACACCUUCCUGUCCUCUCUGCUCUUAUGGUGCCGGAGGCUGCAGUGACCCAGGGGCCCCCAGGAAUGGGGAGGCCGCCUGCCUCAUCGCCAGGCCUCCUCACUUGGCCCUAACCCCAGCCUUUGUUUUCCAUUUCCCUCAGAUGUGACAAGCCGAGGCGGUGAGCCGGGCAGGAGGAAGGAGCCUCCUUCAGGGUUUCGGGAACCAGAUCUCUCACCAGGAAAGACUGAUACAGAACGAUCGAUACAGAAACCACGCUGCCGCCACCACACCAUCACCAUCGACAGAACAGUCCUUAAUCCAGAAACCUGAAAUGAAGGAAGAGGAGACUCUGCGCAGAGCACUUUGGGUCCGGAGGGCGAGACUCCGGCGGAAGCAUUCCCGGGCGGGUGACCCAGCACGGUCCCUCUUGGAAUUGGAUUCGCCAUUUUAUUUUUCUUGCUGCUAAAUCACCGAGCCCGGAAGAUUAGAGAGUUUUAUUUCUGGGAUUCCUGUAGACACACCCACCCACAUACAUACAUUUAUAUAUAUAUAUUAUAUAUAUAUAAAAAUAAAUAUCUAUAUUUUAUAUAUAUAAAAUAUAUAUAUUCUUUUUUUAAAUUAACAGUGCUAAUGUUAUUGGUGUCUUCACUGGAUGUAUUUGACUGCUGUGGACUUGAGUUGGGAGGGGAAUGUUCCCACUCAGAUCCUGACAGGGAAGAGGAGGAGAUGAGAGACUCUGGCAUGAUCUUUUUUUGUCCCACUUGGUGGGGCCAGGGUCCUCUCCCCUGCCCAGGAAUGUGCAAGGCCAGGGCAUGGGGGCAAAUAUGACCCAGUUUUGGGAACACCGACAAACCCAGCCCUGGCGCUGAGCCUCUCUACCCCAGGUCAGACGGACAGAAAGACAGAUGACAGGUACAGGGAUGAGGACACUGGCUCUGACUAGGAGUUUGGGGAGCUUCAGAACAUUGCUGUGCUUUGGGGAUUCCCUCCACAUGCUGCACGCGCAUCUCGCCCCCAGGGGCACUGCCUGGAAGAUUCAGGAGCCUGGGCGGCCUUCGCUUACUCUCACCUGCUUCUGAGUUGCCCAGGAGGCCACUGGCAGAUGUCCCGGCGAAGAGAAGAGACACAUUGUUGGAAGAAGCAGCCCAUGACAGCUCCCCUUCCUGGGACUCGCCCUCAUCCUCUUCCUGCUCCCCUUCCUGGGGUGCAGCCUAAAAGGACCUAUGUCCUCACACCAUUGAAACCACUAGUUCUGUCCCCCCAGGAGACCUGGUUGUGUGUGUGUGAGUGGUUGACCUUCCUCCAUCCCCUGGUCCUUCCCUUCCCUUCCCGAGGCACAGAGAGACAGGGCAGGAUCCACGUGCCCACUGUGGAGGCAGAGAAAAGAGAAAGUGUUUUAUAUACGGUACUUAUUUAAUAUCCCUUUUUAAUUAGAAAUUAAAACAGUUAAUUUAAUUAAAGAGUAGGGUUUUUUUUCAGUAUUCUUGGUUAAUAUUUAAUUUCAACUAUUUAUGAGAUGUAUCUUUUGCUCUCUCUUGCUCUCUUAUUUGUACCGGUUUUUGUAUAUAAAAUUCAUGUUUCCAAUCUCUCUCUCCCUGAUCGGUGACAGUCACUAGCUUAUCUUGAACAGAUAUUUAAUUUUGCUAACACUCAGCUCUGCCCUCCCCGAUUCCCUGGCUCCCCAGCACACAUUCCUUUGAAAUAAGGUUUCAAUAUACAUCUACAUACUAUAUAUAUAUUUGGCAACUUGUAUUUGUGUGUAUAUAUAUAUAUAUAUGUUUAUGUAUAUAUGUGAUUCUGAUAAAAUAGACAUUGCUAUUCUGUUUUUUAUAUGUAAAAACAAAACAAGAAAAAAUAGAGAAUUCUACAUACUAAAUCUCUCUCCUUUUUUAAUUUUAAUAUUUGUUAUCAUUUAUUUAUUGGUGCUACUGUUUAUCCGUAAUAAUUGUGGGGAAAAGAUAUUAACAUCACGUCUUUGUCUCUAGUGCAGUUUUUCGAGAUAUUCCGUAGUACAUAUUUAUUUUUAAACGACAAAGAAAUACAGAUAUAUCUUAAAAAAAAAAGCAUUUUGUAUUAAAGAAUUUAAUUCUGAUCUC